CAUACGACCGUACCGCAAACCGACACUGGUGCGCGAGAUGAGUAUUCUAAGGCGCUUGAGAGAACUCAGGAGAAGGAACUCGGCAAAUUGACACCGUAACUUCGGAAGAAGGUGUGCCCUAUUAGUGUGUAGUGAACAACGAAGCAUGAAUGGGUUGCAAAAAAUCGGUGGCUGCGACUGUUUAUUAAAAACACAGCACUCUGCAAACACGAAAGUGGACGUAUAGGGUGUGACGCCUGCCCGGUGCUGGAAGAUUAAAUGAUGGGGUGCAAGCUCUUGAUUGAAGUCCCAGUAAACGGCGGCCGUAACUAUAACGGUCCUAAGGUAGCGAAAUUCCUUGUCGGGUAAGUUCCGACCUGCACGAAUGGCGUAACGAUGGCCACACUGUCUCCUCCUGAGACUCAGCGAAGUUGAAAUGUUUGUGAUGAUGCAAUCUCCCCGCGGAAAGACGGAAAGACCCCAUGAACCUUUACUGUAGCUUUGUAUUGGACUUUGAACAGAUCUGUGUAGGAUAGGUGGGAGGCUUUGAAGCAGGGUCGCUAGAUCUUGUGGAGCCAACGUUGAAAUACCACCCUGGUGUGUUUGAGGUUCUAACCUAGGUCCAUUAUCUGGAUCGGGGACAGUGCAUGGUAGGCAGUUUGACUGGGGCGGUCUCCUCCCAAAGCGUAACGGAGGAGUUCGAAGGUACGCUAGUUACGGUCGGACAUCGUGACGAUAGUGCAAUGGCAUAAGCGUGCUUAACUGCGAGACUGACAAGUCGAGCAGAUGCGAAAGCAGGACAUAGUGAUCCGGUGGUUCUGUAUGGAAGGGCCAUCGCUCAACGGAUAAAAGGUACUCUGGGGAUAACAGGCUGAUACCGCCCAAGAGUUCAUAUCGACGGCGGUGUUUGGCACCUCGAUGUCGGCUCAUCUCAUCCUGGGGCUGUAGCCGGUCCCAAGGGUAUGGCUGUUCGCCAUUUAAAGAGGUACGUGAGCUGGGUUUAAAACGUCGUGAGACAGUUUGGUCCCUAUCUUCCGUGGGCGCUGCAGAUUUGAGGAAGCCUGCUCCUAGUACGAGAGGACCGGAGUGGUCACACCUCUGGUGUAUCGGUUGUCACGCCAGUGGCAUUGCCGAGUAGCUAAGUGUGGAAGAGAUAACCGCUGAAAGCAUCUAAGCGGGAAACUCGUUUCAAGAUGAGAUCUGCCGGGGCCUUGAGCCCCCUAAAGAGUGAAGG
Molecule: ribosomal RNA, 1213 nt
Filed under: metagenome
Description: bacterial LSU rRNA
Rfam family: Bacterial large subunit ribosomal RNA
Source: RNAcentral